This 254-nucleotide ribosomal RNA is filed under the name uncultured bacterium. RNAcentral's name for it is "partial 16S ribosomal RNA". It matches the Rfam family "Bacterial small subunit ribosomal RNA", at positions 524 to 777 of the family's 1533-position model. The record is from RNAcentral.
UACGGAGGGGACUAGCGUUGUUCGGAAUUACUGGGCGUAAAGCGCACGUAGGCGGAUUUGUAAGUCAGGGGUGAAAUCCCGGGGCUCAACCUCGGAAAUGCCUUUGAUACUGCAAAUCUCGAGUCCGGAAGAGGUGAGUGGAAUUCCUAGUGUAGAGGUGAAAUUCGUAGAUAUUCGCAAGAACACCAGUGGCGAAGGCGGCUCACUGGCCCGAUACUGACGCUGAGGCACGAAAGCGUGGGGAGCAAACAGGG